Molecule: ribosomal RNA, 460 nt
Filed under: uncultured bacterium
Lineage: Bacteria
Description: partial 16S ribosomal RNA
Rfam family: Bacterial small subunit ribosomal RNA
Source: RNAcentral
CCUACGGGAGUCAGCAGUGAGGAAUAUUGGUCAAUGGACGCCAGCCUGAACCAGCCAAGCCGCGUGAAGGAAGACUGCUCUACGGGUUGUAAACUUCUUUUAUACAGGAAUAAAGUGAGGUACGUGUGCCUUUCUGUAUGUAUUUUAUGAAUAAGGAUCGGCUAACUCCGUGCCAGCAGCCGCGGUAAUACGGAGGAUUCGAGCGUUAUCCGGAUUUAGUGGGUUUAAAGGGUGCGUAGAUGGGUUGUUAAGUAAGUUGUGAAAGUUGGUGGCUCAACCGUGAAAUUGCAAUUGAUACUGGCAGUCUUGAGUGCAGUUGCGGUAGGCGGAAUGCGUGGUGUAGCGGUGAAAUGCUUAGAGAUCACACAGAACUCCGAUUGCGAAGGCAGCUUACUAAGCUGCCACUGACGUUGAUGCUCGAAAGUGUGGGGAGCAAACAGGAUUAGAUACCCUUGUAGUC